CAAUAGCGUAUAUUAAAGUUGUUGCAGUUAAAAAGCUCGUAGUUGGAUUUCGGGACGGGCCAGUUGGUCCGCCGCAAGGUGUGUUACUGACUGGUCUGUUCUUCUUCGCAAAGACUGCGUGUGCUCUUCGUUGAGUGUGCGUAGGAUUUACGACGUUUACUUUGAAAAAAUUAGAGUGUUCAAAGCAGGCAAUCGCUUGAAUACAUGAGCAUGGAAUAAUGGAAUAGGACUUUGGUCCUAUUUUGUUGGUUUCUAGGACCGAAGUAAUGAUUAAGAGGGACAAUUGGGGGCAUCCGUAUUUCGUUGUCAGAGGUGAAAUUCUUGGAUUUACGAAAGACGAACAACUGCGAAAGCACUUGCCAAGAGUGUUUUCAUUAA
This 378-nucleotide ribosomal RNA is filed under the name uncultured eukaryote. RNAcentral's name for it is "partial 18S ribosomal RNA". It matches the Rfam family "Eukaryotic small subunit ribosomal RNA", at positions 592 to 976 of the family's 1831-position model. The record is from RNAcentral.